Camelus ferus (Wild Bactrian camel) is the source of this 44-nucleotide non-coding RNA. The record is from Rfam. NCBI's taxonomy places the organism in Eukaryota, Metazoa, Chordata, Mammalia, Artiodactyla, Camelidae.
ACAAAGGCUUUUAAAAGCCAUCAACUGAUGCAUUUUUAAUUUGU